UCACCAUGGGCGGACGCAGACCUCCACGCCGCGACACUUGAACUUGCCUUUUUUGCGUUGACCUCCUCGCAGCUGUGCCUGUUCUGGAAAUGGAUGAGGAAUGCUUCAGGACGAUGCCUAGUGACGUCAACGUCGCCCGAGUGUAGCCUGAAGUCCGCGAUGAGGGCCUCCUCUAGGUGAUGCACCGUGGUGUUGGGCGGAUCCCUCCUAG
RNAcentral lists this long non-coding RNA (211 nucleotides) under Setaria italica (foxtail millet). RNAcentral's name for it is "long non-coding RNA (SITA_LNC003577)". Lineage: Eukaryota; Viridiplantae; Streptophyta; Magnoliopsida; Poales; Poaceae. The record is from RNAcentral.